GUGUGACUGCGUACCUUUUGUAUAAUGGGUCAGCGACUUAUAUUCUGUAGCAAGGUUAACCGAAUAGGGGAGCCGAAGGGAAACCGAGUCUUAACUGGGCGUUAAGUUGCAGGGUAUAGACCCGAAACCCGGUGAUCUAGCCAUGGGCAGGUUGAAGGUUGGGUAACACUAACUGGAGGACCGAACCGACUAAUGUUGAAAAAUUAGCGGAUGACUUGUGGCUGGGGGUGAAAGGCCAAUCAAACCGGGAGAUAGCUGGUUCUCCCCGAAAGCUAUUUAGGUAGCGCCUCGUGAAUUCAUCUCCGGGGGUAGAGCACUGUUUCGGCAAGGGGGUCAUCCCGACUUACCAACCCGAUGCAAACUGCGAAUACCGGAGAAUGUUAUCACGGGAGACACACGGCGGGUGCUAACGUCCGUCGUGAAGAGGGAAACAACCCAGACCGCCAGCUAAGGUCCCAAAGUCAUGGUUAAGUGGGAAACGAUGUGGGAAGGCCCAGACAGCCAGGAUGUUGGCUUAGAAGCAGCCAUCAUUUAAAGAAAGCGUAAUAGCUCACUGGUCGAGUCGGCCUGCGCGGAAGAUGUAACGGGGCUAAACCAUGCACCGAAGCUGCGGCAGCGACGCUGAUGCGUUGUUGGGUAGGGGAGCGUUCUGUAAGCCUGCGAAGGUGUGCUGUGAGGCAUGCUGGAGGUAUCAGAAGUGCGAAUGCUGACAUAAGUAACGAUAAAGCGGGUGAAAAGCCCGCUCGCCGGAAGACCAAGGGUUCCUGUCCAACGUUAAUCGGGGCAGGGUGAGUCGACCCCUAAGGCGAGGCCGAAAGGCGUAGUCGAUGGGAAACAGGUUAAUAUUCCUGUACUUGGUGUUACUGCGAAGGGGGGACGGAGAAGGCUAUGUUGGCCGGGCGACGGUUGUCCCGGUUUAAGCGUGUAGGCUGGUUUUCCAGGCAAAUCCGGAAAAUCAAGGCUGAGGCGUGAUGACGAGGCACUACGGUGCUGAAGCAACAAAUGCCCUGCUUCCAGGAAAAGCCUCUAAGCAUCAGGUAACAUCAAAUCGUACCCCAAACCGACACAGGUGGUCAGGUAGAGAAUACCAAGGCGCUUGAGAGAACUCGGGUGAAGGAACUAGGCAAAAUGGUGCCGUAACUUCGGGAGAAGGCACGCUGAUAUGUAGGUGAAGUCCCUCGCGGAUGGAGCUGAAAUCAGUCGAAGAUACCAGCUGGCUGCAACUGUUUAUUAAAAACACAGCACUGUGCAAACACGAAAGUGGACGUAUACGGUGUGACGCCUGCCCGGUGCCGGAAGGUUAAUUGAUGGGGUCAGCGCAAGCGAAGCUCUUGAUCGAAGCCCCGGUAAACGGCGGCCGUAACUAUAACGGUCCUAAGGUAGCGAAAUUCCUUGUCGGGUAAGUUCCGACCUGCACGAAUGGCGUAAUGAUGGCCAGGCUGUCUCCACCCGAGACUCAGUGAAAUUGAACUCGCUGUGAAGAUGCAGUGUACCCGCGGCAAGACGGAAAGACCCCGUGAACCUUUACUAUAGCUUGACACUGAACAUUGAGCCUUGAUGUGUAGGAUAGGUGGGAGGCUUUGAAGUGUGGACGCCAGUCUGCAUGGAGCCGACCUUGAAAUACCACCCUUUAAUGUUUGAUGUUCUAACGUUGACCCGUGAUCCGGGUUGCGGACAGUGUCUGGUGGGUAGUUUGACUGGGGCGGUCUCCUCCUAAAGAGUAACGGAGGAGCACGAAGGUUGGCUAAUCCUGGUCGGACAUCAGGAGGUUAGUGCAAUGGCAUAAGCCAGCUUGACUGCGAGCGUGACGGCGCGAGCAGGUGCGAAAGCAGGUCAUAGUGAUCCGGUGGUUCUGAAUGGAAGGGCCAUCGCUCAACGGAUAAAAGGUACUCCGGGGAUAACAGGCUGAUACCGCCCAAGAGUUCAUAUCGACGGCGGUGUUUGGCACCUCGAUGUCGGCUCAUCACAUCCUGGGGCUGAAGUAGGUCCCAAGGGUAUGGCUGUUCGCCAUUUAAAGUGGUACGCGAGCUGGGUUUAGAACGUCGUGAGACAGUUCGGUCCCUAUCUGCCGUGGGCGCUGGAGAACUGAGGGGGGCUGCUCCUAGUACGAGAGGACCGGAGUGGACGCAUCACUGGUGUUCGGGUUGUCAUGCCAAUGGCACUGCCCGGUAGCUAAAUGCGGAAGAGAUAAGUGCUGAAAGCAUCUAAGCACGAAACUUGCCCCGAGAUGAGUUCUCCCUGACUCCUUGAGAGUCCUGAAGGAACGUUGAAGACGACGACGUUGAUAGGCCGGGUGUGUAAGCGCAGCGAUGCGUUGAGCUAACCGGUACUAAUGAACCGUGAGGCUUAACCUU
This 2354-nucleotide ribosomal RNA is filed under the name Escherichia coli. RNAcentral's name for it is "bacterial LSU rRNA". It matches the Rfam family "Bacterial large subunit ribosomal RNA", at positions 591 to 2925 of the family's 2925-position model. The record is from RNAcentral. Lineage: Bacteria; Pseudomonadati; Pseudomonadota; Gammaproteobacteria; Enterobacterales; Enterobacteriaceae.